UGCAAGUCGAACGAUGAAGCCCUUCGGGGUGGAUUAGUGGCGAACGGGUGAGUAACACGUGGGCAAUCUGCCCUUCACUCUGGGACAAGCCCUGGAAACGGGGUCUAAUACCGGAUAAUACCGGCCUCUGCAUGGGGGCUGGUUAAAAGCUCCGGCGGUGAAGGAUGAGCCCGCGGCCUAUCAGCUUGUUGGUGGGGUAAUGGCCUACCAAGGCGACGACGGGUAGCCGGCCUGAGAGGGCGACCGGCCACACUGGGACUGAGACACGGCCCAGACUCCUACGGGAGGCAGCAGUGGGGAAUAUUGCACAAUGGGCGAAAGCCUGAUGCAGCGACGCCGCGUGAGGGAUGACGGCCUUCGGGUUGUAAACCUCUUUCAGCAGGGAAGAAGCGAAAGUGACGGUACCUGCAGAAGAAGCGCCGGCUAACUACGUGCCAGCAGCCGCGGUAAUACGUAGGGCGCAAGCGUUGUCCGGAAUUAUUGGGCGUAAAGAGCUCGUAGGCGGCUUGUCACGUCGGGUGUGAAAGCCCGGGGCUUAACCCCGGGUCUGCAUCCGAUACGGGCAGGCUAGAGUGUGGUAGGGGAGAUCGGAAUUCCUGGUGUAGCGGUGAAAUGCGCAGAUAUCAGGAGGAACACCGGUGGCGAAGGCGGAUCUCUGGGCCAUUACUGACGCUGAGGAGCGAAAGCGUGGGGAGCGAACAGGAUUAGA
This 709-nucleotide ribosomal RNA is filed under the name Streptomyces gardneri. Its description in RNAcentral is "bacterial SSU rRNA". It matches the Rfam family "Bacterial small subunit ribosomal RNA", at positions 56 to 782 of the family's 1533-position model. The record is from RNAcentral. Lineage: Bacteria; Bacillati; Actinomycetota; Actinomycetes; Kitasatosporales; Streptomycetaceae. RNAcentral also lists the same sequence under 1 other name.